UUCGCCCUUAGAGUUUGAUCCUGGCUCAGGACGAACGCUGGCGGCGUGCUUAACACAUGCAAGUCGAACGGGCCUUAACGAAUAGAUUACUAUGAGCUAAGGUUAGUGGCGGACGGGUGAGUAACACGUGGAUAACCUACCUGACACAUCGGGAUAACACCGUGAAAACAGUGCUAAUACCGGAUACGUUCUUUAGGGCGCAUGGUCUAAAGAAGAAAGGGGGAACCCGGUGACAGAUGGAUCCGCGGCUGAUUAGCCAGUUGGUGGGGUAAAGGCCUACCAAAGCGACGAUCAGUAGCCGGCCUGAGAGGGUGAACGGCCACACUGGAACUGAGACACGGUCCAGACUCCUACGGGAGGCAGCAGUGGGGAAUCUUCCGCAAUGGGCGCAAGCCUGACGGAGCAACGCCGCGUGGGUGACGAAGGCCUUCGGGUUGUAAAGCCCUGUCAAAUGGGAAGAAAGGAAUGACAGUACCAUAAGAGGAAGCCACGGCUAACUACGUGCCAGCAGCCGCGGUAAUACGUAGGUGGCAAGCGUUGUCCGGAAUUACUGGGCGUAAAGGGCGAGUAGGCGGUUAAUUAAGUCAGGUGUGAAAACUGUGGGCUCAACCCAGAGAGUGCACCUGAUACUGAGUAACUUGAGUGCAGGAGAGGGCAGUGGAAUUCCUAGUGUAGCGGUGAAAUGCGUAGAUAUUAGGAGGAACACCAGUGGCGAAGGCGGCUGCCUGGACUGUAACUGACGCUGAGGCGCGAAAGCGUGGGGAGCAAACAGGAUUAGAUACCCUGGUAGUCCACGCCGUAAACGA
RNAcentral lists this ribosomal RNA (806 nucleotides) under uncultured bacterium. Its description in RNAcentral is "bacterial SSU rRNA". It matches the Rfam family "Bacterial small subunit ribosomal RNA", at positions 1 to 809 of the family's 1533-position model. The record is from RNAcentral.